This 449-nucleotide ribosomal RNA is filed under the name uncultured bacterium. Its description in RNAcentral is "bacterial SSU rRNA". It matches the Rfam family "Bacterial small subunit ribosomal RNA", at positions 29 to 524 of the family's 1533-position model. The record is from RNAcentral.
AACGAACGCUGGCGGCAGGCCUAACACAUGCAAGUCGAACGCCGUAGCAAUACGGAGUGGCAGACGGGUGAGUAACACGUGGGAACGUACCCUUCGGUUCGGGAUAACUCAGGGAAACUUGAGCUAAUACCGGAUACGUCCGAGAGGAGAAAGAUUUAUCGCCGAGGGAUCGGCCCGCGUCUGAUUAGCUUGUUGGUGAGGUAACGGCUCACCAAGGCGACGAUCAGUAGCUGGUCGAGAGGAUGAUCAGCCACAUUGGGACUGAGACACGGCCCAAACUCCUACGGGAGGCAGCAGUGGGGAAUAUUGGACAAUGGGCGCAAGCCUGAUCCAGCCAUGCCGCGUGAGUGAUGAAGGCCCUAGGGUUGUAAAGCUCUUUUACCCGGGAAGAUAAUGACUGUACCGGGAGAAUAAGCCCCGGCUAACUUCGUGCCAGCCGCCGCUGUAAC